Molecule: non-coding RNA, 72 nt
Organism: Tritrichomonas musculus
Lineage: Eukaryota; Parabasalia; Tritrichomonadida; Tritrichomonadidae
Source: the annotation of a GenBank genome assembly
GGGUGAUUGGUCUAAUUGUAUGAUUCUAGCUUUGUGUGCGAUAGGCCUCGGGUUCAAUUCCCGUAUCGCCCC